Molecule: ribosomal RNA, 253 nt
Filed under: uncultured bacterium
Lineage: Bacteria
Description: partial 16S ribosomal RNA
Rfam family: Bacterial small subunit ribosomal RNA
Source: RNAcentral
UACGGGGGGGGCAAGCGUUGUUCGGAAUUACUGGGCGUAAAGGGCUCGUAGGCGGCCAACUAAGUCCGACGUGAAAUCCCAAGGCUUAACCUUGGAACUGCGUCGGAUACUGGAUGGCUUGAAUUCGGGAGAGGGAUGCAGAAUUCCAGGUGUAGCGGUGAAAUGCGUAGAUAUCUGGAGGAACACCUGUGGCGAAGGCGGCGACCUGGGUUGACAUUGACGCUGAGGCGCGAAAGCGUGGGGAGCAAACAGG